AAUAAGAGCAUGACAAAUAAGUUUUUUCCUCCUGAUUUUUAGUUUUUUCCUUCAUAAAAAAUUCAAAUCCAACUAAAAAUCCUAAAAAUUAGGAGGAAAAAUUUGAUUUAUCAUGUUCCUAUU
Non-coding RNA from Gossypium hirsutum (cotton), 123 nucleotides. The record is from Rfam. NCBI's taxonomy places the organism in Eukaryota, Viridiplantae, Streptophyta, Magnoliopsida, Malvales, Malvaceae.